UCUUUUCUCUCUCUCGAUUUGGAUUCUCCAUAUUCAUCUCUACCAAUUCAGAUCUAUCUCGGUUCAGAUUCCUACAGUGAACGACACCAUCAGAUUCCACAUUUUGAGUCGUGGCCACACUAAUUCCACUCUGAUUCUUGUCGUCGCUUUCCUGUCCUUGCACAUGUCUGGACCAGAUCUAUAUGUGGCCGGGCCAUCUCGAGCUCAUGCUGCCAUCGCCGCCAAACCAUCAUCAAGGGUGUUUCAUAUCCAAUUGAACUUCCGAGUCAAAAUUUCGAUUCACUCCAAAAUAUGUUCUGUCGAUUCUUGCUUUUUUCUGUUUGCUCCGACUUCAUUGCCAUCUUUCGAAUUCCUUUGUUCGCCCAUCUACGCCUCACGCAAAGGGAAAAAAGCGGGGUGGUGUUCACCGCUUAAAAGAGCUUUAUCCGGUUGCUAAGGCUGAGGUUGGAUGGAUCAUCAUCAUCUGGACAGGAUCCGCCGAUUCGAAGGAUGAGAUUCUUUGGGUUCACUCUCGGCACUCCUGCCGGUCCGACGUAGUUUCAUCAACCAACCGCAACAGAGGGCAAUCUGAGUCAUCAAAAUCAUCCGAAAAGAUACGCCAAGCAUGAAGAUUGGCGGUGGUGAGCACGAAGAGAAAACAAGGAAGAAUAAAAAGUCGCGAAGCGAAGCAGUGGAUGGAGAUGAUUCGGAUUUUGCGUGGGGACUGUGGGGAAAACGGGGCAAACAAGGUGAAGCCGGCGGUGGUUCUUUGGAUGAGAAGGAAGUAAAGUGUUGAAUUU
Molecule: long non-coding RNA, 779 nt
Organism: Eucalyptus grandis
Lineage: Eukaryota; Viridiplantae; Streptophyta; Magnoliopsida; Myrtales; Myrtaceae
Exons: 2
Source: RefSeq, a predicted model, not a curated record